This 253-nucleotide ribosomal RNA is filed under the name uncultured bacterium. Its description in RNAcentral is "partial 16S ribosomal RNA". It matches the Rfam family "Bacterial small subunit ribosomal RNA", at positions 524 to 776 of the family's 1533-position model. The record is from RNAcentral.
UACGGAGGGUGCAAGCGUUAUCCGGAUUCACUGGGUUUAAAGGGUGCGUAGGCGGGUUGGUAAGUCCGUGGUGAAAUCCCCAAGCUUAACUUGGGAACUGCAUCCGAUACUGGAUGGCUUGAAUCCGGGAGAGGGAUGCAGAAUUCCUGGUGUAGCGGUGAAAUGCGCAGAUAUCAGGAGGAACACCAAUUGCGAAGGCAGCUAACUAAGUCAUAACUGACGCUGAUGCACGAAAGCGUGGGGAGCAAACAGG